GUCAAUGGGAUUGCAUGAUAUAGCUUAGCUGUAGGGUCAUAGAAACCAGAAGCACCAGAUGCAAAAUUGGCACCAAUCAGGAGGUUUGUGCCUUGAGCUUCUUUGCUAAGGUAGGCUGGUGGAUAAGAAGUGAAGCCUAUGUUCUCAGCAGUGAAAUCAGAGGCAAGUUUUCCAUUGCAGAAUCUGCCAGUUGGUUGAUGAUUGAUAAAGUCCCUACCAUAAGGAGGGAAGUUUGCCUUUACAAUAGUGUAAAGGUGGUUGUUGUUGCCAGCAUCAACAACAGAAUCUCCAAAUAUGAACAAGGCAGGAACCAGAGGUUGGGCAUUGGCCACCGAGAAAACCAGAGCAAUAAGAAGAAAGGAAGAAUACAAAGAAUUUGACAGGUCCAUAAGUUUCAACUUCUUUUUUGGCUUGAUUUACGUAGGUGUGUGUAAGAGAGAGG
This 442-nucleotide unclassified non-coding RNA is filed under the name Hevea brasiliensis (rubber tree). Lineage: Eukaryota; Viridiplantae; Streptophyta; Magnoliopsida; Malpighiales; Euphorbiaceae. The record is from RNAcentral.